This 429-nucleotide ribosomal RNA is filed under the name Bacteroidota bacterium. Its description in RNAcentral is "Bacteroidetes bacterium partial 16S ribosomal RNA". It matches the Rfam family "Bacterial small subunit ribosomal RNA", at positions 355 to 776 of the family's 1533-position model. The record is from RNAcentral. Lineage: Bacteria; Pseudomonadati; Bacteroidota.
UAGGGAAUCUUCUGCAAUGGUCGCAAGUCUGACGGAGCAACGCCGCGUGAGUGAAGAAGGAUUUUGGUUCGUAAAACUCUGUUGUUAGAGAAGAACAGCGCAUAGAGUAACUGUUAUGCGUGUGACGGUAUCUAACCAGAAAGCCACGGCUAACUACGUGCCAGCAGCCGCGGUAAUACGUAGGUGGCAAGCGUUGUCCGGAUUUAUUGGGCGUAAAGCGAGCGCAGGCGGUCAAUUAAGUCUGAUGUGAAAGCCCCCGGCUCAACCGGGGAGGGUCAUUGGAAACUGGUUGACUUGAGUGCAGAAGAGGAGAGUGGAAUUCCAUGUGUAGCGGUGAAAUGCGUAGAUAUAUGGAAGAACACCAGUGGCGAAGGCGACUCUCUGGUCUGUAACUGACGCUGAGGCUCGAAAGCGUGGGUAGCAAACAGG